GGCGGAAGGGUGCGUAACGCGUGGGUAAUUUGCCGUGAAGUUGGGGAUAACUCGCUGAAAGGCGAGCUAAUACCGAAUGUGAUCCGACGGGGGCAUCCCUGUUUGAUUGAAGCUGGGGACCGUAAGGCCUGGCGCUUCACGAUAAGCCCGCGACCUAUCAGCUAGUUGGUGAGGUAACGGCUCACCAAGGCUAAGACGGGUAGCUGGUCUGAGAGGACGACCAGCCACACUGGAACUGAGACACGGUCCAGACACCUACGGGUGGCAGCAGUCGAGAAUUUUUCUCAAUGGACGAAAGUCUGAAGGAGCGACGCCGCGUGGGGGAUGAAGGGCUUCGGUCCGUAAACCCCUGUCAUUUGCGAACAAACCUUGCGUUUGAACAGAACGCGAGCUGAUUGUAGCGAAAGAGGAAGGGACGGCUAACUCUGUGCCAGCAGCCGCGGUAAUACAGAGGUCCCAAGCGUUGUUCGGAUUCACUGGGCGUAAAGGGUGCGUAGGCGGUGGGGUAAGUCUGGUGUGAAAGCUCGGAGCUCAACUCCGAAAUGUCAUCGGAAACUACUUCACUUGAGGUUUGGAGGGGGGACUGGAAUUCUCGGUGUAGCAGUGAAAUGCGUAGAUAUCGAGAGGAACACCAGUGGCGAAGGCGAGUCCCUGGACAAAUCCUGACGCUGAGGCACGAAAGCUAGGGGAGCAAACAGGAUUAGAUACCCUGGUAGUCCUAGCUGUAAACGGUGCACGUUUGCUGUGAGCGGAUUCGACCCCGUUCGUGGCGUAGCUAACGCGAUAAACGUGCCGCCUGGGGAGUACGGUCGCAAGAUUAAAACUCAAGAAAUUGACGGGGGCCUGCACAAGCGGUGGAGUAUGUGGCUUAAUUCGAUGCAACGCGAGAACCUUACCUGGUCUUGACAUCCAGAGAAUCCUGCAGAGAUGCGGGAGUGCCUUCGGGACUCUGAGACAGGUGCUGCAUGCUGUCGUCAGCUCGUGUCGUGAGAUGUUGGGUUAGUCCCGCAGCGAGCGCAUCCUUGCCUAGUGCACAUUUAGUUGAGCACUCUAGG
RNAcentral lists this ribosomal RNA (1055 nucleotides) under uncultured bacterium. RNAcentral describes it as "bacterial SSU rRNA". It matches the Rfam family "Bacterial small subunit ribosomal RNA", at positions 97 to 1144 of the family's 1533-position model. The record is from RNAcentral.